AUUGAACGCUGGCGGCAGGCCUUACACAUGCAAGUCGAGCGGGGUUUUCGGACCUAGCGGCGGACGGGUGAGUAAUGCGUAGGAAGCUACCCGAUAGAGGGGGAUACCAGUUGGAAACGACUGUUAAUACCGCAUAAUGUCUACGGACCAAAGUGUGGGACCUUCGGGCCACAUGCUAUCGGAUGCGCCUACGUGGGAUUAGCUAGUUGGUGAGGUAAUGGCUCACCAAGGCGACGAUCCCUAGCUGGUUUGAGAGGAUGAUCAGCCACACUGGAACUGAGACACGGUCCAGACUCCUACGGGAGGCAGCAGUGGGGAAUAUUGGACAAUGGGCGCAAGACUGAUCCAGCCAUGCCGCGUGUGUGAAGAAGGCCUUCGGGUUGUAAAGCACUUUCAGUAGAGAGGAAGCGUAGUGUGUUAAUAGUACACAGCGUUGACGUUACCUACAGAAGAAGCACCGGCUAACUCUGUGCCAGCCGCCGCAGUAA
RNAcentral lists this ribosomal RNA (488 nucleotides) under uncultured bacterium. RNAcentral describes it as "partial 16S ribosomal RNA". It matches the Rfam family "Bacterial small subunit ribosomal RNA", at positions 30 to 523 of the family's 1533-position model. The record is from RNAcentral.